AUAGUAAAUUCAGGAACAAU
Molecule: ribosomal RNA, 20 nt
Filed under: Western X phytoplasma
Lineage: Bacteria; Bacillati; Mycoplasmatota; Mollicutes; Acholeplasmatales; Acholeplasmataceae
Description: partial 23S ribosomal RNA
Source: RNAcentral